This 449-nucleotide ribosomal RNA is filed under the name uncultured bacterium. Its description in RNAcentral is "partial 16S ribosomal RNA". It matches the Rfam family "Bacterial small subunit ribosomal RNA", at positions 29 to 523 of the family's 1533-position model. The record is from RNAcentral.
AACGAACGCUAGCGGCAUGCCUAACACAUGCAAGUCGAACGAGAUCUUCGGGUCUAGUGGCGCACGGGUGCGUAACGCGUGGGAAUCUGCCCUUUGGUUCGGAAUAACAGUUGGAAACGACUGCUAAUACCGGAUGAUGACGAAAGUCCAAAGAUUUAUCGCCAGAGGAUGAGCCCGCGUAGGAUUAGCUAGUUGGUGUGGUAAAGGCGCACCAAGGCGACGAUCCUUAGCUGGUCUGAGAGGAUGAUCAGCCACACUGGGACUGAGACACGGCCCAGACUCCUACGGGAGGCAGCAGUGGGGAAUAUUGGACGAUGGGCGAAAGCCUGAUCCAGCAAUGCCGCGUGAGUGAUGAAGGCCUUAGGGUUGUAAAGCUCUUUUACCCGGGAUGAUAAUGACAGUACCGGGAGAAUAAGCUCCGGCUAACUCCGUGCCAGCCGCCGCGGUAA